UGGGGAAUAUUGCACAAUGGGCGCAAGCCUGAUGCAGCCAUGCCGCGUGUAUGAAGAAGGCCUUCGGGUUGUAAAGUACUUUCAGCGAGGAGGAAGGCAUUAAGGUUAAUAACCUUAGUGAUUGACGUUACUCGCAGAAGAAGCACCGGCUAACUCCGUGCCAAGCAGCCGCGGUAAUACGGAGGGUGCAAGCGUUAAUCGGAAUUACUGGGCGUAAAGCGCACGCAGGCGGUCUGUUAAGUCAGAUGUGAAAUCCCCGGGCUCAACCUGGGAACUGCAUUUGAAACUGGCAGGCUUGAGUCUUGUAGAGGGGGGUAGAAUUCCAGGUGUAGCGGUGAAAUGCGUUAGAGAUCUGGAGGAAUACCGGUGGCGAAGGCGGCCCCCUGGACAAAGACUGACGCUCAGGUGCGAAAAGCGUGGGGGAGCAAACA
This 431-nucleotide ribosomal RNA is filed under the name uncultured Raoultella sp. RNAcentral's name for it is "bacterial SSU rRNA". It matches the Rfam family "Bacterial small subunit ribosomal RNA", at positions 355 to 774 of the family's 1533-position model. The record is from RNAcentral. Lineage: Bacteria; Pseudomonadati; Pseudomonadota; Gammaproteobacteria; Enterobacterales; Enterobacteriaceae.